GACGUCGUGGAUAACGAAACAUUCCUCGUGAAGCUUACAGCAAGCGUAAGCGGGAGAGGUAGCGUCCGGAAUCACAAAUGCAUGUGAGGUUGCAUCUGUGACAUGUGCCAACGCCAUGACUAAUGACUAACAGGAUACUGUGACCUAAUCAGUCUUCUCGGCAGAGGAGCCACUUAGGCUAGCAGCAGUUGGAAGAAUGAGUUGGAGUUAAGCAGUGAAGAGGGAGGCAAGGGUGCUUUGCACAGAGGAACAGUUUGUGCAAAAGCCUGUGGGUAGGAGAGACAUGCAAGAGGGCGGGGCUGGCAGACCUACCACUAGGGAAGGUGGGCAGGAAAGGGGAAUCAAGUAGGUCAGCACCUUGCAGUUUCUUUCCUAGAGCAGUUGUUACCUCUCGUAAUUUAUGUAUGUUAUUUAUUGUUUGCCUUUGCCUGCUGCGUUGAGUUUCAACACUGGGUACAUACUGACCACCCAGAGAGCUUUAGAAUAUAGUUUCCUGCGCCCUAACAAAGACCAGAUGAAUCAGGAUCUCUGGGAUUGGACCUGGGAACUGGCGCUUCUUCAAAGUUCCCAGAUGAUUCUAAUGUACCUACAGUGUUGAGGAUCCCUGCCUCUUGGAUCAUGAGCUCCAUUUCAGCAGGGAACAAAUCCUGGGAUUCACAUAAGAAGCUGAUGUGGCGUUGCACACUCUGGAUCUGAUGCUCCAGGGACAUGGUAUCCAUGGCAACCGAGGCCUGGGCCUCACCUGGGGGGAAGAUGAUAAGAUUUUAUUUAUUUAUUCAUGAGAGACACACGGAGAGAGAGAG
Long non-coding RNA from Canis lupus familiaris (dog), 803 nucleotides. RefSeq lists it as uncharacterized. The transcript has 3 exons. The record is from RefSeq and is a predicted model, not a curated record. NCBI's taxonomy places the organism in Eukaryota, Metazoa, Chordata, Mammalia, Carnivora, Canidae.